RNAcentral lists this ribosomal RNA (445 nucleotides) under uncultured bacterium. RNAcentral describes it as "partial 16S ribosomal RNA". It matches the Rfam family "Bacterial small subunit ribosomal RNA", at positions 354 to 796 of the family's 1533-position model. The record is from RNAcentral.
GUGAGGAAUAUUGGACAAUGGGCGCAAGCCUGAUCCAGCCAUGCCGCGUGCAGGAAGACGCAUCUAUGGUGUGUAAACUGCUUUUGUACGGGAAGAAACACUCCCUCGUGAGGGAGCUUGACGGUACCGUAAGAAUAAGGAUCGGCUAACUCCGUGCCAGCAGCCGCGGUAAUACGGAGGAUCCAAGCGUUAUCCGGAAUCAUUGGGUUUAAAGGGUCCGUAGGCGGUUUAAUAAGUCAGUGGUGAAAGCCCAUCGCUCAACGAUGGAACGGCCAUUGAUACUGUUAGACUUGAAUUACAAGGAAGUAACUAGAAUAAGUAGUGUAGCGGUGAAAUGCUUAGAUAUUACAUGGAAUACCAAUUGCGAAGGCAGGUUACUACUUGUGGAUUGACGCUGAUGGACGAAAGCGUGGGGAGCGAACAGGAUUAGAAACCCCGGUAGUCC